GCAGCAGUAGGGAAUCUUCCGCAAUGGGCGAAAGCCUGACGGAGCAACGCCGCGUGAGUGAAGAAGGUUUUCGGAUCGUAAAGCUCUGUUGCCAGGGAAGAAGAGCUGGUAGAGGAAAUGCUACGAGCGUGACGGUACCUGAGAAGAAAGCCCCGGCUAACUACGUGCCAGCAGCCGCGGUAAUACGUAGGGGGCAAGCGUUGUCCGGAAUUAUUGGGCGUAAAGCGCGCGCAGGCGGUCCUAUAAGUCUGGUGUAUAAUCCCGGGGCUUAACCCCGGAUCGCACGAGAAACUGUAGGACUAGAGUACAGAAGAGGAGAGUGGAAUUCCACGUGUAGCGGUGAAAUGCGUAGAGAUGUGGAGGAACACCAGUGGCGAAGGCGACUCUCUGGGCUGAAACUGACGCUGAGGCGCGAAAGCGUGGGGAGCAAACAGGAUUAGAUACCCUGGUAGUCCACGCCGUAAACGAUGAGUGCUAGGUGUUAGGGGUUUCGAUACCCUUGGUGCCGAAGUAAACACAGUAAGCACUCCGC
Molecule: ribosomal RNA, 532 nt
Filed under: uncultured Bacillota bacterium
Lineage: Bacteria; Bacillati; Bacillota
Description: bacterial SSU rRNA
Rfam family: Bacterial small subunit ribosomal RNA
Source: RNAcentral